This 63-nucleotide transfer RNA is filed under the name Ruditapes decussatus. RNAcentral's name for it is "tRNA-His". The record is from RNAcentral. Lineage: Eukaryota; Metazoa; Mollusca; Bivalvia; Venerida; Veneridae.
GUUAGUCUAGUUUAUAAAAAUGUUUCUUUGUGGCAGAAAAGAUAGCCUGCUGUGCUGGCUAAU